GGUGAAGCAGUAUAGGGAGCUUUUCCGGCUCGAGGGCGUCGACCUCAGCUUUAAUGACGGUGCGCUCCUAGAGGUUGCCAAACGCGCCAAGGCGCGGGGCACGGGCGCGCGCGGGCUGCGCUCGGUGCUCGAGAAGACGCUUCUAGAGCUGAUGUUCGAGGUGCCGGGAAACGACAUCUCGGCGGUUCACAUCAACCUGGAGAACCUGGACGACCCGCAGAUGAUCCUGACUC
Molecule: unclassified non-coding RNA, 233 nt
Filed under: plant metagenome
Description: partial contains 5.8S ribosomal RNA, internal transcribed spacer 2, and large subunit ribosomal RNA
Source: RNAcentral